This 2912-nucleotide ribosomal RNA is filed under the name Staphylococcus aureus. RNAcentral describes it as "partial 23S ribosomal RNA". It matches the Rfam family "Bacterial large subunit ribosomal RNA". Lineage: Bacteria; Bacillati; Bacillota; Bacilli; Caryophanales; Staphylococcaceae. The record is from RNAcentral.
UAAGGGCGCACGGUGGAUGCCUUGGCACUAGAAGCCGAUGAAGGACGUUACUAACGACGAUAUGCUUUGGGGAGCUGUAAGUAAGCUUUGAUCCAGAGAUUUCCGAAUGGGGAAACCCAGCAUGAGUUAUGUCAUGUUAUCGAUAUGUGAAUACAUAGCAUAUCAGAAGGCACACCCGGAGAACUGAAACAUCUUAGUACCCGGAGGAAGAGAAAGAAAAUUCGAUUCCCUUAGUAGCGGCGAGCGAAACGGGAAGAGCCCAAACCAACAAGCUUGCUUGUUGGGGUUGUAGGACACUCUAUACGGAGUUACAAAGGACGACAUUAGACGAAUCAUCUGGAAAGAUGAAUCAAAGAAGGUAAUAAUCCUGUAGUCGAAAAUGUUGUCUCUCUUGAGUGGAUCCUGAGUACGACGGAGCACGUGAAAUUCCGUCGGAAUCUGGGAGGACCAUCUCCUAAGGCUAAAUACUCUCUAGUGACCGAUAGUGAACCAGUACCGUGAGGGAAAGGUGAAAAGCACCCCGGAAGGGGAGUGAAAUAGAACCUGAAACCGUGUGCUUACAAGUAGUCAGAGCCCGUUAAUGGGUGAUGGCGUGCCUUUUGUAGAAUGAACCGGCGAGUUACGAUUUGAUGCAAGGUUAAGCAGUAAAUGUGGAGCCGUAGCGAAAGCGAGUCUGAAUAGGGCGUUUAGUAUUUGGUCGUAGACCCGAAACCAGGUGAUCUACCCUUGGUCAGGUUGAAGUUCAGGUAACACUGAAUGGAGGACCGAACCGACUUACGUUGAAAAGUGAGCGGAUGAACUGAGGGUAGCGGAGAAAUUCCAAUCGAACCUGGAGAUAGCUGGUUCUCUCCGAAAUAGCUUUAGGGCUAGCCUCAAGUGAUGAUUAUUGGAGGUAGAGCACUGUUUGGACGAGGGGCCCCUCUCGGGUUACCGAAUUCAGACAAACUCCGAAUGCCAAUUAAUUUAACUUGGGAGUCAGAACAUGGGUGAUAAGGUCCGUGUUCGAAAGGGAAACAGCCCAGACCACCAGCUAAGGUCCCAAAAUAUAUGUUAAGUGGAAAAGGAUGUGGCGUUGCCCAGACAACUAGGAUGUUGGCUUAGAAGCAGCCAUCAUUUAAAGAGUGCGUAAUAGCUCACUAGUCGAGUGACACUGCGCCGAAAAUGUACCGGGGCUAAACAUAUUACCGAAGCUGUGGAUUGUCCUUUGGACAAUGGUAGGAGAGCGUUCUAAGGGCGUUGAAGCAUGAUCGUAAGGACAUGUGGAGCGCUUAGAAGUGAGAAUGCCGGUGUGAGUAGCGAAAGAUGGGUGAGAAUCCCGUCCACCGAUUGACUAAGGUUUCCAGAGGAAGGCUCGUCCGCUCUGGGUUAGUCGGGUCCUAAGCUGAGGCCGACAGGCGUAGGCGAUGGAUAACAGGUUGAUAUUCCUGUACCACCUAUAAUCGUUUUAAUCGAUGGGGGGACGCAGUAGGAUAGGCGAAGCGUGCGAUUGGAUUGCACGUCUAAGCAGUAAGGCUGAGUAUUAGGCAAAUCCGGUACUCGUUAAGGCUGAGCUGUGAUGGGGAGAAGACAUUGAGUCUUCGAGUCGUUGAUUUCACACUGCCGAGAAAAGCCUCUAGAUAGAAAAUAGGUGCCCGUACCGCAAACCGACACAGGUAGUCAAGAUGAGAAUUCUAAGGUGAGCGAGCGAACUCUCGUUAAGGAACUCGGCAAAAUGACCCCGUAACUUCGGGAGAAGGGGUGCUCUUUAGGGUUAACGCCCAGAAGAGCCGCAGUGAAUAGGCCCAAGCGACUGUUUAUCAAAAACACAGGUCUCUGCUAAACCGUAAGGUGAUGUAUAGGGGCUGACGCCUGCCCGGUGCUGGAAGGUUAAGAGGAGUGGUUAGCUUCUGCGAAGCUACGAAUCGAAGCCCCAGUAAACGGCGGCCGUAACUAUAACGGUCCUAAGGUAGCGAAAUUCCUUGUCGGGUAAGUUCCGACCCGCACGAAAGGCGUAACGAUUUGGGCACUGUCUCAACGAGAGACUCGGUGAAAUCAUAGUACCUGUGAAGAUGCAGGUUACCCGCGACAGGACGGAAAGACCCCGUGGAGCUUUACUGUAGCCUGAUAUUGAAAUUCGGCACAGCUUGUACAGGAUAGGUAGGAGCCUUUGAAACGUGAGCGCUAGCUUACGUGGAGGCGCUGGUGGGAUACUACCCUAGCUGUGUUGGCUUUCUAACCCGCACCACUUAUCGUGGUGGGAGACAGUGUCAGGCGGGCAGUUUGACUGGGGCGGUCGCCUCCUAAAAGGUAACGGAGGCGCUCAAAGGUUCCCUCAGAAUGGUUGGAAAUCAUUCAUAGAGUGUAAAGGCAUAAGGGAGCUUGACUGCGAGACCUACAAGUCGAGCAGGGUCGAAAGACGGACUUAGUGAUCCGGUGGUUCCGCAUGGAAGGGCCAUCGCUCAACGGAUAAAAGCUACCCCGGGGAUAACAGGCUUAUCUCCCCCAAGAGUUCACAUCGACGGGGAGGUUUGGCACCUCGAUGUCGGCUCAUCGCAUCCUGGGGCUGUAGUCGGUCCCAAGGGUUGGGCUGUUCGCCCAUUAAAGCGGUACGCGAGCUGGGUUCAGAACGUCGUGAGACAGUUCGGUCCCUAUCCGUCGUGGGCGUAGGAAAUUUGAGAGGAGCUGUCCUUAGUACGAGAGGACCGGGAUGGACAUACCUCUGGUGUACCAGUUGUCGUGCCAACGGCAUAGCUGGGUAGCUAUGUGUGGACGGGAUAAGUGCUGAAAGCAUCUAAGCAUGAAGCCCCCCUCAAGAUGAGAUUUCCCAACUUCGGUUAUAAGAUCCCUCAAAGAUGAUGAGGUUAAUAGGUUCGAGGUGGAAGCAUGGUGACAUGUGGAGCUGACGAAUACUAAUCGAUCGAAGACUUAAUCAA